GACCGCUGCAGUGGUCAGAGCGUUCGCCUCAGAUGCGGGAGGUCGCGGGUUUGAAUGCCGGCUGAGUCA
Molecule: non-coding RNA, 69 nt
Organism: Potamilus streckersoni
Lineage: Eukaryota; Metazoa; Mollusca; Bivalvia; Unionida; Unionidae
Source: the annotation of a GenBank genome assembly